RNAcentral lists this ribosomal RNA (434 nucleotides) under uncultured bacterium. RNAcentral's name for it is "SSU rRNA". It matches the Rfam family "Bacterial small subunit ribosomal RNA", at positions 26 to 518 of the family's 1533-position model. The record is from RNAcentral.
AGAAUGAACGCUAGCGAUAUGCUUAACACAUGCAAGUUGAACGUUGUUUUCGAGUCAAAAUGAAAACAAAGUGGCGAACGGGUGCGUAACACGUGGGAAUCUGCCAAACAGUUUGGGCCAAAUCCUGAAUGAAUGAAAGCUAAAAAGCGCUGUUUGAUGAGCCCACGUAGUAUUAGGUAGUUGGUUAGGUAAAAGCUGACCAAGCCUACGAUGCUUAGCUGGUCUUUUCGGAUGAUCAGCCACACUGGGACUGAGACACGGCCCCAGACUCCUACGGGAGGCAGCAGUGGGGAAUCUUGGACAAUGGGCGAAACCCUGACGCAGCAACGCCGCGUGGAGGAUGAAGUCCCCUUGGGACGUAAACUCCUUUCGAUCGGGACGAUAAUGACGGUACCGGAAGAAGAAGCCCCGGCUAACUUCGUGCCAGCAGCCGC